RNAcentral lists this microRNA precursor (132 nucleotides) under Gossypium arboreum. RNAcentral's name for it is "MIR7502 microRNA precursor family". It matches the Rfam family "MIR7502 microRNA precursor family". The record is from Rfam by way of RNAcentral. Lineage: Eukaryota; Viridiplantae; Streptophyta; Magnoliopsida; Malvales; Malvaceae.
UGUUAAAAAUUUAAUUUAUUCGUGCUGUUAAAAUUAACAUGAUUGACAGAAUAAUUAAAUAGUGUCAUGUGUACCUCAUGUCGAUGUACAUAGAUCAAUUUUUAAUGGUAGAAAUGAAUAAAAUUUUUAACA